Molecule: transfer RNA, 89 nt
Filed under: Candidatus Collierbacteria bacterium RIFOXYD1_FULL_40_9
Lineage: Bacteria; Candidatus Collieribacteriota
Description: tRNA-Ser
Rfam family: tRNA
About the family: Transfer RNA (tRNA) molecules are approximately 80 nucleotides in length.
Source: RNAcentral
GGAGAGGUAGUCAAGUGGUCGAAGACAGCGGUUUACUAAACCGCCAUAUCUGUAAAAAGAUAUCCAGGGUUCGAAUCCCUGCCUCUCCG